UACAGAGGGUGCAAGCGUUGUUCGGAAUUAUUGGGCGUAAAGCGCGUGUAGGCGGCGUGGCAAGUCGGGUGUGAAAGCCCUCAGCUCAACUGAGGAAGUGCGCCCGAAACUGCUGUGCUUGAGUGCCGGAGAGGGUGGCGGAAUUCCCCAAGUAGAGGUGAAAUUCGUAGAUAUCUGGAGGAAUACCGGUGGCGAAGGCGGCAUCCUGGACCGGCAUUGACGCUGAGGAGCGAAAGCUAGGGGAGCAAACGGG
Molecule: ribosomal RNA, 253 nt
Filed under: uncultured bacterium
Lineage: Bacteria
Description: partial 16S ribosomal RNA
Rfam family: Bacterial small subunit ribosomal RNA
Source: RNAcentral